CAGCCGCCACGGUAAUACGAAAGGUCCAAGCGUUACUCGGAAUUACUGGGCGUAAAGCGCGCGUAGGCGGUCUUGUAUGUCGAUUGUGAAAGCCCCGGGCUCAACCUGGGAACUGCAGUCGAAACUGCAAGACUUGAAUGUUGGAGAGGUUGGGGGAAUACCUAGUGGAGAAGUGAAAUUCGUAGAGAUUAGAUGGAACACCAGAGGCGAAGGCGCCCGACUGGCCAAACAUUGACGCUAAGGCGCGAAAGCGUGGGUAGCAAACAGGAUUAGAGACCCCUGUAGUCCCUGUCUCUUAUAC
Molecule: ribosomal RNA, 301 nt
Filed under: uncultured bacterium
Lineage: Bacteria
Description: partial 16S ribosomal RNA
Rfam family: Bacterial small subunit ribosomal RNA
Source: RNAcentral